UACGUAGGGGGCUAGCGUUGUCCGGCAUCAUUGGGCGUAAAGCGCGCGUAGGUGGCUUCGUAAGUCCGUUGUGAAAGUCAAAGGCUCAACCUUUGAAAGCCGAUGGAUACUGCGGAGCUAGAGUACGGAAGAGGAGAAUGGAAUUCCUGGUGUAGCGGUGAAAUGCGCAGAUAUCAGGAGGAACACCAAUGGCGAAGGCAGCUCGCUGGGACGGUACUGACGCUGAGGCGCGAAAGCGUGGGGAGCAAACAGG
Molecule: ribosomal RNA, 253 nt
Filed under: uncultured bacterium
Lineage: Bacteria
Description: partial 16S ribosomal RNA
Rfam family: Bacterial small subunit ribosomal RNA
Source: RNAcentral